This 321-nucleotide ribosomal RNA is filed under the name Rhagidiidae sp. AP-2010. RNAcentral's name for it is "eukaryotic LSU rRNA". It matches the Rfam family "Eukaryotic large subunit ribosomal RNA", at positions 666 to 944 of the family's 3401-position model. Lineage: Eukaryota; Metazoa; Arthropoda; Arachnida; Trombidiformes; Rhagidiidae. The record is from RNAcentral.
CCAAGGAGUCUAACAUGUGCGCGAGUCACUCAGUCUUGAAUAGGCUCGAGGGGCGAAAUGAAAGUAAUGCCCUUGUGGCAAAGAUACGAUCCUGGUGUUUACUACUUGCCUUGUGCGAGUGUCCCGGGCGCAGUAUCGGCCCACCCAUUUCUCAUUGUAGAUUUGGUGGAGUCUGAGCGUAUAUGUUGGUACCCGAAAGAUGGUGAACUAUACUUGAGCAGGAUGAAGCCAGAGGAAACUCUGGUGGAAGUCUGUAGCGGUUCUGACGUGCAAAUCGAUCGUCAGACUUGAGUAUAGGGGCGAAAGACUAAUCGAACCAUC